GGACGCGUAGCUCAGCUGGUUAGAGCGCUUGAUUCACAUUCAAGAGGUCAGAGGUUCGAAUCCUCUCGCGUCCACCA
RNAcentral lists this transfer RNA (77 nucleotides) under Patescibacteria group bacterium. Its description in RNAcentral is "tRNA-Val". It matches the Rfam family "tRNA". From Rfam's summary of the family: Transfer RNA (tRNA) molecules are approximately 80 nucleotides in length. Their secondary structure includes four short double-helical elements and three loops (D, anti-codon, and T loops). The record is from RNAcentral.